CAGCCGCCGCGGUAAUACAUAGGGUGCGAGCGUUAAUCGGAUUUACUGGGCGUAAAGCGUGCGUAGGCGGCUUCUUAAGUCGGAUGUGAAAUCCCUGAGCUUAACUUAGGAAUUGCAUUCGAUACUGGGAAGCUAGAGUAUGGGAGAGGAUGGUAGAAUUCCAGGUGUAGCGGUGAAAUGCGUAGAGAUCUGGAGGAAUACCGAUGGCGAAGGCAGCCAUCUGGCCUAAUACUGACGCUGAGGUACGAAAGCAUGGGGAGCAAACAGGAUUAGAUACCCCUGUAGUCCCUGUCUCUUAUAC
RNAcentral lists this ribosomal RNA (301 nucleotides) under uncultured bacterium. Its description in RNAcentral is "partial 16S ribosomal RNA". It matches the Rfam family "Bacterial small subunit ribosomal RNA", at positions 509 to 807 of the family's 1533-position model. The record is from RNAcentral.